UCGCGGCCCCAGGUCAGGCGUGAGU
This 25-nucleotide ribosomal RNA is filed under the name Taxus baccata (English yew). Its description in RNAcentral is "partial nuclear 28S ribosomal RNA". Lineage: Eukaryota; Viridiplantae; Streptophyta; Pinopsida; Cupressales; Taxaceae. The record is from RNAcentral. RNAcentral also lists the same sequence under 1 other name.